UUCUAUGUUGAUCUUUAUUAAU
RNAcentral lists this non-coding RNA (22 nucleotides) under Sclerotinia trifoliorum. The record is from RNAcentral. Lineage: Eukaryota; Fungi; Ascomycota; Leotiomycetes; Helotiales; Sclerotiniaceae.